RNAcentral lists this transfer RNA (81 nucleotides) under Pseudomonas fluorescens. RNAcentral's name for it is "tRNA-Ile". It matches the Rfam family "tRNA". From Rfam's summary of the family: Transfer RNA (tRNA) molecules are approximately 80 nucleotides in length. Their secondary structure includes four short double-helical elements and three loops (D, anti-codon, and T loops). The record is from RNAcentral. RNAcentral also lists the same sequence under 3 other names. Lineage: Bacteria; Pseudomonadati; Pseudomonadota; Gammaproteobacteria; Pseudomonadales; Pseudomonadaceae.
GGGACUUUAGCUCAUGGUUGGUUAGAGCGGCGGGCUCAUAACCUGUUCAGGCGCCUGGUUCGACCCCAGGAAGUCCCACCA